RNAcentral lists this long non-coding RNA (278 nucleotides) under Gossypium raimondii (Peruvian cotton). RNAcentral describes it as "long non-coding RNA (GRAI_LNC004689)". Lineage: Eukaryota; Viridiplantae; Streptophyta; Magnoliopsida; Malvales; Malvaceae. The record is from RNAcentral.
GAUGGGUUUAGAAGUUUGUAUAAGUGGAUGAGAGAGUGGAUAGUUGGGAUUGGGUUGAUAGGAGAUCAUGCCUUAAUUUGAGGGAUUUUGGUUUAUUUUUAUUUUUUUCUUUUCUCUCUUCCCAAGGAAAGAUUUUGACUUUAGUUUUUCCAUUCUUUCUGACGUUUCCUUCUUGUUCUCCUUCUCUACAUCUUUGAUUCUUUCUUUCAUUUUCUUUCCCCUUUAAAUCUGUUUACAUCUUUUUUUCUUCAUGUUGCACUCUAGAACUUGGUAUUUUU